RNAcentral lists this ribosomal RNA (468 nucleotides) under uncultured bacterium. RNAcentral's name for it is "partial 16S ribosomal RNA". It matches the Rfam family "Bacterial small subunit ribosomal RNA", at positions 28 to 507 of the family's 1533-position model. The record is from RNAcentral.
GACGAACGCUGGCGGCGUGCUUAACACAUGCAAGUCGAACGGAAAGGCCCUGCUUUUGUGGGGUGCUCGAGCGGCGAACGGGUGAGUAACACGCGAGUAACCUGCCCUUGACUUUGGGAUAACUUCAGGAAACUGGGGCUAAUACCGGAUAGGAGCUCCUGCUGCAUGGUGGGGGUUGGAAAGUUUCGGCGGUUGGGGAUGGACUCGCGGCUUAUCAGCUUGUUGGUGGGGUAGUGGCUUACCAAGGCUUUGACGGGUAGCCGGCCUGAGAGGGUGACCGGCCACAUUGGGACUGAGAUACGGCCCAGACUCCUACGGGAGGCAGCAGUGGGGAAUAUUACACAAUGGGCGGAAGCCUGAUGCAGCAACGCCGCGUGCGGGAUGACGGCCUUCGGGUUGUAAACCGCUUUCGCCUGUGACGAAGCGUGAGUGACGGUAAUGGGUAAAGAAGCACCGGCUAACUACGUG